AGAACGAACGCUGGCGGCAUGCCUAACACAUGCAAGUCGAACGCUUCCGGGGCUUCGGUCGCGGAGGAGUGGCGCACGGGUGAGUAGCGCGUGGGAACCUGCCCUGUUGUGGGGGAUAACCGAGGGAAACUUCGGCUAAUACCGCAUACGCCCCGGGACUUGGUCUUCGAAUUAGGUCUGGGGGGAAAGAUUGAUCGCAGCAGGAGGGGCCCGCGUCGGAUUAGCUGGUUGGUGGGGUAACGGCUCACCAAGGCGAUGAUCCGUAGCUGGUCUGAGAGGAUGAUCAGCCACACUGGGACUGAGACACGGCCCAGACUCCUACGGGAGGCAGCAGUGGGGAAUAUUGGACAAUGGGGGCAACCCUGAUCCAGCAAUGCCGCGUGAGUGAUGAAGGCCUUAGGGUUGUAAAGCUCUUUCGCCCGCGACGAUGAUGACGGUAGCGGGAGAAGAGCCCGGCUAACUUCGUGCCAGCAGCCGCGGU
RNAcentral lists this ribosomal RNA (481 nucleotides) under uncultured bacterium. Its description in RNAcentral is "SSU rRNA". It matches the Rfam family "Bacterial small subunit ribosomal RNA", at positions 26 to 521 of the family's 1533-position model. The record is from RNAcentral.